CCCACAUCAUCGUCCUAGCGACAGCAUCGCCUCUAAUGACGGAAUCACCCAUCAUGUGGUACCUUUUCAUAGGCACAUGUAAAAUGUGCACAUGAUCCAGUACCAAAAGCACUUCCCUAGAUCGGCGGUGUAUCCGAUCAUGCUCCCACAACUCACACUUAUCGAGGCGUAGAGGAAAAAUGAUCCAUACAUUACCAUUUAAAUGAAUGGCACUCAUACUAUUGCACGCCGUAUGAGCAACGAAAUAGAAAUAUGAUGCAGAAACCCCCAAGUCAGU
RNAcentral lists this long non-coding RNA (277 nucleotides) under Sorghum bicolor (sorghum). RNAcentral's name for it is "long non-coding RNA (SBIC_LNC015878)". The record is from RNAcentral. Lineage: Eukaryota; Viridiplantae; Streptophyta; Magnoliopsida; Poales; Poaceae.